Molecule: long non-coding RNA, 1623 nt
Organism: Gadus morhua (Atlantic cod)
Lineage: Eukaryota; Metazoa; Chordata; Actinopteri; Gadiformes; Gadidae
Source: Ensembl
AUGACGUUGUUGCACAGACAUCGAUGGCGACAACAUGUGAUUGUGAUUUUCGCGAUGCACCGUCCUCAACAUACUAAGCCCUAUGGAAGGGGAGAUUUGGAGGUACCUGGUCAGGUCUUGGUCAGCCUUCAAAUCCCAGAUGUGGAGACUGCAGGGAUACCUCACAGAGAAGACACUAAAGAGUCAUCUCUCAUUCAUCGAGUGGACUCAUUGGUUUGCGAAUUACCACAAAGAUGCUCCCAUAGGCAGAUUGCUGCAUGGCAUGCACCGCUUAUUCAAAUUGAAGAGGUUGAAGGAGUCUUCCUUGUGGUCACUUGCCAUAACAAUGUCAUGUGUUUUAUGAAAACACCAUCAGUAACAUUUAAAUUGAGUUGAUGUGGACGGCUCUUUUUUUUGUCCGAUUUCUUCAGUGUUCAGUGCCUGUUUGUGAGAUAUGCAUUGUUUGAAAGAUAAGCCUUUGAUUUUGUUUAAUUUUAAUAUGCCUUUCAUCAACAGUGGUUUGGGGUUUUAUAACAACAAUUAAAGUGCUUAACUACUGGUGAACGAUGUUGCAGAACAUAUAUGGUUUGUGUUGAUUGAAUGGAAAAGGGAAUAACCAGUUACAACUUAUAUGGUAAGAGCCUGGUAAUACCAUGGAAACAAACGAGGCUUCCUUUUACAGUACAGUUUCAGCUUACUUACUGGGUAAAUUGACGUGUUUUACUUGGUAACGUCGCAGAACGUACAUGGUACAAGUUUGUGUUGACUGCAUGGAAAAGGGAAUAAUGUAUUAAAAAUUAUCUGGUAAGAACCUGGUAAUACCAUGGAAACAAACGAGGCUUCCUUUUACAGUACAGUUUCAGCUUAAUUACUGGGUAAAUUGACGUGUUUUACUUGGUAACGUCGCAGAACGUACAUGGUACAAGUUUGUGUUGACUGCAUGGAAAAGGGAAUAAUGUGUUACAAAUUAUAUGGUAAGAACCUGGUAAUACCAUGGAAAUAAACGAGGCUUCCUUUUACAGUACAGUUUCAGCUUAAUUACUGGGUAAUUUGUCGUGUUUUACUUGGUAACGUCGCAGAACGUACAUGGUACAAGUUUGUGUUGAUUGCAUGGAAAAGAGAAUAAUGUAUUACAAAUUAUAUGGUAAGAACCUGGUAAUACCAUGGAAACAAACGAGGCUUCCUUUUACAGUACAGUUUCAGCUUAAUUACUGGGUAAAUUGUCGUGUUUUACUUGGUAACGUCGCAGAACGUACAUGGUACAAGUUUGUGUUGACUGCAUGGAAAAGGGAAUAAUGUCUUACAAAUUAUAUGGUAAGAACCUGGUAAUACCAUGGAAACAAACGAGGCUUCCUUUUACAGUACAGUUUCAGCUUAAUUACUGGGUAAAUUGUCGUUUUUUACUUGGUAACGUCGCAGAACGUACAUGGUACAAGUUUGUGUUGACUGCAUGGAUAAUGGAAUGUAUCUGUUAUAAAUUAUAUGGUAAGAACCUGGUAAUACCAUGGAAACAAACGGCUUCGUACCCAGUAUUUAAGAAGAUGUACCAUGACACUAGAGGAAAACAGAUUCCUGCAGAGGUUGUUACCAGGUAAGUAAUUCCAUAGUGGUAAAUCGAAUAAACCCUUUCUAGAUGGGUGUAGC